RNAcentral lists this long non-coding RNA (1045 nucleotides) under Bemisia tabaci. Its description in RNAcentral is "lncRNA ENSASIAIIG000695". Lineage: Eukaryota; Metazoa; Arthropoda; Insecta; Hemiptera; Aleyrodidae. The record is from RNAcentral.
UACUAAAGGAGACGACUACUCGAGCUCCUGGACAGGUUUUUUGCCUAUGCGGCUGAAUUGAAGGCGAAGUCAAGUAUCCGAGAUCUUUCACCAGGUUCAGGCAAUAACGAUUGUUUCUACUGAAGUUUAUAGUGGAUUUUUGCAAAAAGCAAGUUUAGACCUUAAAUAGCUUACGUACGCAAUAAUUUAACGACCCCUGAACGAUAAUUACGUUGAUCAAGAAAAUUAGUGAAAUAGGAGCCGUCUAAAUCACGUACACGCAAAAAAAUACACCUAGCUUAGAGACUCGUCCGCGGUAGGUGAAUGAGCGGAAUGCGUGGCGAUCACCUGCGGAGAGUGUAUAGAACAGAAAGCCAAAGGUGACGCCUUGCCCCCAAAAACUAAUCCUGACGCUCUCUCUCGUCUCUGGGAAGGUGACAGGGUAAGGUGCAAAAAACAAACUACAUUACUGUCUAGCAGAAUUACUCUCCCGUCUAGACCUGUGCUGCACGCCUCCCUGCGUCGCCUUAACCAAUUCAUAAGCCACGCCUUGAUUUCAUUCCUCCCGCACUGUGCAACUCGUGGUCACGUGUGACCGGUUCCAACAUGACGUCAUGUCUUACAUCACCCAGAGACGCUCGCCACAGAGGAAGAAACUCGCACACACACACACACACCCUUACACAUACACACGCAGUUAACAGUUUUCUCCAUGCGUGCUGAAUAAGUGAAGUGAAUGUGAAUCCAUGCCGCUUUCGUCGUAUGUACUUCUCAUUGUUAAUUCUGUGACUGUGAAAUCGAAAUCGAUUAAGUAUGGCCGAGGACCCUAACGUUGAAGAAUGGCUGCGAAGAAUUGGACUUACACAGUACGUUGAAACUUUUCAUAGUCAUAAUAUCACAUGGGAUGUACUGCCUCUAAUGACUAUCGAAAAUUCUGCGGAAAUUAUUAAAAACUUUGGCGACCGGCUCCGUUUGGCCAAAGGACUUGAGGAACUGAAAAGUGCCUCUUCAGCUUGUACCUCUGAUGUAAGUAAGAUUUUCAUCUGUGUUUAUUAAGUAGCAGUUU